RNAcentral lists this ribosomal RNA (440 nucleotides) under uncultured bacterium. RNAcentral's name for it is "partial 16S ribosomal RNA". It matches the Rfam family "Bacterial small subunit ribosomal RNA", at positions 338 to 795 of the family's 1533-position model. The record is from RNAcentral.
CCUACGGGAGGCUGCAGUGGGGAAUAUUGCACAAUGGGGGAAACCCUGAUGCAGCGACGCCGCGUGAGUGAAGACGUAUUUCGGUAUGUAAAGCUCUAUCAGCAGGGAAGAAAAUGACGGUACCUGAUUAGGAAGCCCCGGCUAACGACGUGCCAGCAGCCGCGGUAAUACGGAGGGGGCGAGCGUUAUCCGGAUUUACUGGGGGGAAAGGGAGCGUAGACGGCAGCACAAGUCUGGAGUGAAAUGCCGGGGCUUAACCCCGGAACUGCUUUGGAAACUGUGCAGCUAGAGUGCAGGAGAGGUAAGUGGAAUUCCUAGUGUAGCGGUGAAAUGCGUAGAUAUUAGGAGGAACACCAGUGGCGAAGGCGGCUUACUGUACUGUAACUGACGUUGAGGCUCGAAGGUGUGGGGAGCAAACAGGAUUAGAUACCCGUGUAGUC